ACUAAAUUGUACUCUCUGAUAUUUCAGCCACACCUCUGCCAUCGCAACAGGGGAACAAUCAGUUGCUGCGUGACAUGGGCAUCAGCACAGUCAUCGCUCUCCUUGGCCAGCUGAGGGAGGAAAACAGGGAGCUGAAGGGGGAAGUAGGAAGGCUGACGCAAGAGGUCAGGGCCCUAAGGAGAGAGAUGGGGAGACAAGACACACCCCAGACAUCGCCCCUAAUCAAGCUCCCACUCUCCACCAUGGAGGAGUUUUUGGCAGCAGAGGCCCUGGUGAAGGAAGAUGCCAAACAAAAGCAGCUAAUGGUGUCUACCUUAGCCCUUUGUGGAGGAACCGACGUAGGGGUCACAGUGAGGCGGAUGCUGCGUAGCCUCCUGGUCAACAGCUUGGCCAGCCAAUUUAACUGGGCUGGAAAGGGGGGGAAAAAACUGCGUUUAAGGACACCAAGAUCCAUGAUGUCCUGUUUGAUGCUCUACAAAAGCAGCUGCCAGGGAGCACACACGCUACUUUUAGUGACGCAAUCAAGAAGUGGCUUAAGUAUGCGCCAGAGAGAGAGGGAGGGAUGAGGAGACGUGAGGUGUCUGCGCCGCAGGAGGAAUAUAGGCCACAAUUAUAAAUUAUAAAUAAAUCAUAAAA
Molecule: long non-coding RNA, 636 nt
Organism: Neoarius graeffei (lesser salmon catfish)
Lineage: Eukaryota; Metazoa; Chordata; Actinopteri; Siluriformes; Ariidae
Exons: 5
Source: RefSeq, a predicted model, not a curated record